GGUGUGACGAGACACACUGCUCACGAGAUGAGACACGAGAUUGGGUUCACGAGAACGAGACGAGGCGAGAUUUUAACACCAUUUUAGAAGAAGAAAACUUAAAUUAAGAAAUAUGACUAGAAAAAUAUUCUUUACUCAGAGAACCAAGGUUAGCCAAGCGAGAGAACAUUUCUCUUUGUUCAAUAUCAUUAAUACAGUGAUACAUGGAGAGGAGGUGGAACAGGUCCCAAGCUUCAGAUACCUAGGUGUGCAUCUAGCAGAGGAUCUGACCUGGGGAGUAAACACUAAGGA
Sander lucioperca (pikeperch) is the source of this 291-nucleotide long non-coding RNA. RefSeq lists it as uncharacterized. The transcript is spliced from 2 exons. Lineage: Eukaryota; Metazoa; Chordata; Actinopteri; Perciformes; Percidae. The record is from RefSeq and is a predicted model, not a curated record.